AACGAACGCUGGCGGCAGGCCUAACACAUGCAAGUCGAGCGGACCUUUCGGGGUCAGCGGCGGACGGGUGAGUAACGCGUGGGAAUAUGCCCUUCUCUACGGAAUAGUCCUGGGAAACUGGGGUUAUACCGUAUACGCCCUUUUGGGGAAAGAUUUAUCGGGGAAGGAUUAGCCCGCGUUGGAUUAGGUAGUUGGUGGGGUAAUGGCCUACCAAGCCGACGAUCCAUAGCUGGUUUGAGAGGAUGAUCAGCCACACUGGGACUGAGACACGGCCCAGACUCCUACGGGAGGCAGCAGUGGGGAAUCUUAGACAAUGGGGGCAACCCUGAUCUAGCCAUGCCGCGUGAGUGAUGAAGGCCUUAGGGUUGUAAAGCUCUUUCAGCUGGGAAGAUAAUGACGGUACCAGCAGAAGAAGCCCCGGCUAACUCCGUG
This 432-nucleotide ribosomal RNA is filed under the name uncultured bacterium. RNAcentral describes it as "partial 16S ribosomal RNA". It matches the Rfam family "Bacterial small subunit ribosomal RNA", at positions 29 to 507 of the family's 1533-position model. The record is from RNAcentral.